GGAAAUGCAAAAACAAACAAAUGAAAAGAAAUGAGAAAUGUUAAAAAAGGAUGUGUUAAGGAAGAUGUCGUGUGGGACUCAAUUUAUUUCAUUUCUAGUUAUGAUCAUACCAUCACGUGCCUCUAUCACUUCUCCACACCUUUUGUUUGGUAAUUCAAAAUGUGUCAUAAAAUUAAAAUGAUAGAGAUUCUAAUUUUCAUCCGA
Long non-coding RNA from Arabidopsis thaliana (thale cress), 204 nucleotides. RefSeq annotates it as other RNA. Lineage: Eukaryota; Viridiplantae; Streptophyta; Magnoliopsida; Brassicales; Brassicaceae. The record is from RefSeq. The transcript has a single exon.